This 73-nucleotide transfer RNA is filed under the name Deltaproteobacteria bacterium. RNAcentral describes it as "tRNA-Lys". It matches the Rfam family "tRNA". Rfam says of the family: Transfer RNA (tRNA) molecules are approximately 80 nucleotides in length. Their secondary structure includes four short double-helical elements and three loops (D, anti-codon, and T loops). Further hydrogen bonds mediate the characteristic L-shaped molecular structure. tRNAs have two regions of fundamental functional importance: the anti-codon, which is responsible for specific mRNA codon recognition, and the 3' end, to which the tRNAs corresponding amino acid is attached (by aminoacyl-tRNA synthetases). tRNAs cope with the degeneracy of the genetic code in two manners: having more than one tRNA (with a specific anti-codon) for a particular amino acid; and 'wobble' base-pairing, i.e. permitting non-standard base-pairing at the 3rd anti-codon position. The record is from RNAcentral. Lineage: Bacteria; Pseudomonadati; Myxococcota; Myxococcia.
GGGCCGGUAGCUCAGCUGGUAGAGCACUGCCCUUUUAAGGCAGGUGUCCCGGGUUCGAACCCCGGCCGGCUCA